AGUGAGAUCUCUGGAGGUAACAUUGCGAUGCCUCGGUAUCGCGAUUGCUUUUGCCAAAGUUGAUCAAAUUGACGAUUUGGAGGAAAUAAAAGUCGUAACAAGGUUUCCGUAGGUGAACCUGCGGAAGGAUCAUUA
Molecule: ribosomal RNA, 135 nt
Filed under: Chironomus fusciceps
Lineage: Eukaryota; Metazoa; Arthropoda; Insecta; Diptera; Chironomidae
Description: partial 18S rRNA
Rfam family: Eukaryotic small subunit ribosomal RNA
Source: RNAcentral